UACAGAGUAAGAUUGUGUGCGUUAAGUGUCAUACGAACGGGGAGUUGUCGUAUGAACGAAAAGAAUUUCUUGCGGUACGCAGUCUGCAUCCCGCUGUU
Molecule: non-coding RNA, 98 nt
Filed under: Clostridium sp.
Lineage: Bacteria; Bacillati; Bacillota; Clostridia; Eubacteriales; Clostridiaceae
Description: THF-I sequence
Rfam family: THF (Tetrahydrofolate) riboswitch aptamer
About the family: THF riboswitch presents a pseudoknot that joins P1-P2 and the loop of P3 and two THF binding.
Source: RNAcentral